GGAAGGGUGGCCGAGUUGGUUAUGGCGCCAGGUUAAGGUCAGCUUAACAUCUGUUUCCUGGUGGGGCGGGGCAACCCGCGCGAGUUCGAGUCUCGUCCCUUUCA
Molecule: transfer RNA, 104 nt
Filed under: Colletotrichum fructicola Nara gc5
Lineage: Eukaryota; Fungi; Ascomycota; Sordariomycetes; Glomerellales; Glomerellaceae
Description: tRNA-Leu for anticodon AAG
Rfam family: tRNA
About the family: Transfer RNA (tRNA) molecules are approximately 80 nucleotides in length. Their secondary structure includes four short double-helical elements and three loops (D, anti-codon, and T loops).
Source: RNAcentral